GGAGGCCGCGGCGGGGGGAGCGGCCCGAGGAGGACGCGGAGCUCUGCCCGCCCCGGGAGCGGAGCCGGCCCGAGCCGGGACUCCCCCCGCCCCCAUCCGCCGCGCCGGGCGGGGGCCUGGCGCCAGGUCGGGGAAGGCGCUCCAAAGGCUCUCGGAGACCGUGGCGGCCCGGCGGCGCCGGUUGCCCAGCGCACCGGGAGCGGCAAUCCGAGGGCUCCCGGAGAUGUCUUCGCGGGUGGGUGACCUUUUGGAGAGAAUAUCCGCCAUAUAAUUCAUCAGUCCGAAAGGAGCGUUCUCGCCACAGGCAGGUACGAAGGAAUGAAGAAAAGAGCACAGGAGACUUUAAAGGAAUUCUCAGAAGCAGAGAGCAGGGGACACAGACAAGUAUCCUGCUCUCUGUAGCCACAGGAUGAAGAUAAGAGAUUGGAGAUGUAGUUAAAAACGUUUUGCAACAACUUCAACAGCAACGGCUACUCAACCGUAGCGCAGAGGAGAGCAACUGGCUCCAUGGCACUGGUGUCCUGACUACCAGUAGGGAUACAACAGUUGAAAAGGCACAGGUUUUACCUCAAAAAUAAACAUUUCAAACAAUUUAUACGUGUGCA
RNAcentral lists this long non-coding RNA (605 nucleotides) under Apteryx rowi (Okarito brown kiwi). RNAcentral describes it as "lncRNA (ENSARWG00000015666.1)". The record is from RNAcentral. Lineage: Eukaryota; Metazoa; Chordata; Aves; Apterygiformes; Apterygidae.